Molecule: RNA transcript, 3353 nt
Organism: Theobroma cacao (cacao)
Lineage: Eukaryota; Viridiplantae; Streptophyta; Magnoliopsida; Malvales; Malvaceae
Gene name: GDA1/CD39 nucleoside phosphatase family protein
Source: RefSeq, a predicted model, not a curated record
AAAUCAGAAAUCAGAAACAGAGGGGGGAGUCACCACAGAGAGAGAGAGAGAGAGAGAGACCCAAAGGCCAAAACCUCUUCUGUUUUCCCUUGGAUCUGAGACAGUGAAUCCCAAACUGACAGCAGUGGCAAAUAUAAAACAGUUUCGGUUCUAUUUUGGUUUGUUUAUUUGUACAGAUUGUAAAGACAAGGCAGAGAUCUGGGAACUGCCGCAAUCUCAAUCCAAAGUCUUAUCGACUCGUGCCUGCAGGAUUCGUGAUAAUUGGUGGUACCUACUUGGCUGCUGCAUUGUGAUACCUCUGUCCAUGCAGUGACAAUUUCACCAAAUUCGAUGUGAUCAUUGAAUUGAGUUACAUUGCAAGUUUGAUGUUGGCUGUUCUGGCCAGUAUGCAAGCACCAAGGAACGAAAAUUAUAUUUUCUAAAUUUCGACAUUGGCAAGAUAUGCCCUAUGAAAAGUUAUCAAAUUUGAUGAAAAGCAGAAGAAAUGGUAUUUAGUAGAAUCGCAGAAACAAUCUCUGGUGCAUCGAAUCUGUUAUCUGCUACACAGUCUUCUGCAGCUUCAUAUAUGUCGCCUGCAUUGUCACUGCAGGCAGAUAAAAAUGCUGCCCAUGGGUUUGGUUUUGUCAACUCUGGACACAAGAAUAAUUUGCGCCUCUCCUCAUCACUCCAAGAUUUCUCAUCAUAUCACCGGCUUGAUCCAGAAGCAGCUGAUCUUAUUUCUGAAAUUGAUAAGAGCAUGACCUAUACAAGACCCCCUCUACAGCGAGAAAAUGCUGGGUCAAGUUUCUCAAAGGAGAGGGGUUUGCCUGGUGGAACCCCAUUUUUGCGCAGAAAGUGGGUGCGACUAAUCAUUGUUUCCUUGUGCCUGCUUUUGUUCAUUUUUUUGACAUAUAUGGUUUGCAUGUAUAUUUAUUCAAAUUGGUCUAAAGGGGCCUCCAAGUUCUAUGUUGUUCUUGAUUGUGGAAGUACGGGAACUCGAGUUUAUGUUUAUCAGGCAUCAAUUGAUCACAAGAAUGAUGGUAGUCUGCCUAUUGUCAUGAAAUCAUUAACAGAAGGUCUUUCUAGAAGACCGAGUUCACAAAGUGGACGUGCUUAUGAUAGGAUGGAGACUGAGCCUGGCUUUCAUAAGUUAGUGCAUGAUAAAUCUGGCUUGAAAGCUGCCAUAAACCCACUUAUUUCAUGGGCAGAGAAGCAAAUUCCUGAACAUGCACAUAAGACUACUUCUCUUUUCCUUUAUGCUACAGCUGGUGUUCGCAGGUUGCCAAGUGCUGAUUCAAAAUGGCUUCUGGAAAAUGCCUGGUUGAUACUAAAGAAUUCACCAUUCUUGUGCCGCCGAGAGUGGGUUAGGAUUAUCAGUGGGACAGAGGAAGCUUACUUUGGGUGGACAGCCCUCAACUAUCGCACAGGCAUGUUGGGAGCCACACCUAAGAGGAAAACAUUUGGUGCACUUGACUUGGGUGGAUCAUCAUUACAAGUUACAUUUGAGAAUGAGAACCAUCAACAUAAUGAAACCAACUUAAACCUUAGAAUUGGAGUGGUUAAUCAUCAUCUUAGUGCCUAUUCUCUCUCAGGCUAUGGUUUGAAUGAUGCAUUUGACAAGUCUGUAGUUCAUUUAUUAAAGAGGCUCCCAGAUGGCUCCAAUACCAAUCUUGUUAAUGGAAAGAUAGAAAUUAAACAUCCUUGCUUGCACUCUGGCUACAAUGAACAAUAUAUCUGUUCUCAAUGUGCUUCUAAAGACCAAGAAAAUGGAAGUCCUGUAGUUGGAGGGAAAAUUUUGGAUAAAGGAGGAAAAUCAGGAAUUCCUGUGCAGCUUAUCGGUGCUCCAAAUUGGGAGCAAUGCAGUGCAAUUGCCAAAGUUGCUGUCAAUUUAUCUGAAUGGUCAAAUCUAUACCCAGGGAUUGAUUGUGAUUUGCAACCUUGUGCUCUUUCUGAUAGCUUGCCUCGUCCUAACGGCCAGUUCUAUGCUUUGUCUGGCUUUUUUGUGGUAUAUCGGUUCUUCAAUCUGUCUUCAGAUGCUGCACUUGAUGAUGUACUGGAGAAAGGUAGGGAUUUUUGUGAAAAAACCUGGGAAGUAGCGAAGAACAGUGUCGCUCCACAGCCAUUUAUUGAACAGUACUGCUUUAGAGCACCAUAUAUAGUAUCACUGUUGAGAGAGGGUUUGCACAUCACUGAUAGUCAACUUGUCAUUGGUUCUGGAAGUAUUACAUGGACAAAGGGUGUUGCACUGUUGGCAGCUGGGAAGUCAUUUUCAAGUAGACUGAGGCUCCGUGGUUAUCAAAUACUGCAGAUGAAGAUUGAUCCAAUAAUUCUUAUUGCCAUUCUUUUCAUGUCACUGAUUUUGCUUGUUUGUGCUUUAUCAUGUGUUAGUAAUUGGAUGCCGAGAUUUUUCCGGAGACCAUAUCUCCCUCUUUUCCGGCAUAACAGUGCAGCCAGCACAUCUGUUCUUAAUAUACCAUCUCCUUUCCGGUUCAAGCGCUGGAGUCCUAUCAACUCUGGGGAUGGAAGAGUUAAGAUGCCCCUAAGUCCAACAGUUAGUGGUUCUCAGCAGACACCAUUUGGCUUGGGACAUAGUCUUGGCAGCAGCAUCCAGCUCACAGAGUCUUCCUUGUACCCGUCAACCAGUAGUGUGUCACAUAGUUAUUCCUCCAGUAGCUUGGGGCAGAUGCAAUUUGACAGUAGUAGCAUGGGUUCCUUCUGGUCCCCUCACAGAAGUCAGAUGCGACUGCAAAGUAGGAGAUCACAGUCUCGAGAAGACCUUAAUUCCUCACUAGCUGAGACACAAAUGGUGAAAGUUUAGGGAUUGCUUUCCGAAGUUUUGAUGCUAUCAGCAUUACCGAAUUUAUGUCAAGCGGGAUGAUUCUAGGCUAAUGAUGAGAUGGUCUGGUCAUUGAUUCCUCUAGAUUUUGCUCAGAAGGGAUUCCAAGACUUGUUAACUGGCUCCCCAAUUUACCUGGGUUUUAAGUGCACAUCGUUUUUGAGAUUUCGAGCAUUGGUUACCAUUCUUAUCCUCAUGGGCUAGGAGAGAAAUCAUCAGCUUUUGCAGGGCAAGAAUGGGUCUCCCCAUAACCAUAAGCCUUCAGCUUUGAUUUUAUCCUGUAUGAUGCAAGAAAGAUAUGCACCCCCCGUCCACUUGCAAGAAAGAUAGGCUUUUUGUGCAGCUGCUGGCGUAAUCGGAACAAAGCUGAAGGUCCACAGCAAUUGAGCAACGUGCAGAAAUAAAUAUAAUCAUUUCUUGUUUUUUUUUUUCUCGUUUGGUUAUAGAGAUAACACGAUAAUUAGUAAUUAUGUACUAAGAAUCGAUAUUAAUCGAUUAUUUUGUUUUUCGACAGUAAAAUAAAUUUAAAAUUUAAACA